This 722-nucleotide ribosomal RNA is filed under the name uncultured bacterium. RNAcentral describes it as "bacterial SSU rRNA". It matches the Rfam family "Bacterial small subunit ribosomal RNA", at positions 139 to 847 of the family's 1533-position model. The record is from RNAcentral.
GGGGAUAACAUUGGAAACAAAUGCUAAUACGGCAUAUAGUCAGAACCGCAUGGUUCUGAUUUGAAAGAUGGUUUCGGCUAUCACUUUUGGAUGGACCGGCGGCGUAUUAGUUAGUUGGUGAGGUAAAGGGCUCACCAAGACGAUGAUACGUAGCCGAACUGAGAGGUUGAUCGGCCACAAUGGGACUGAGACACGGCCCAUACUCCUACGGGAGGCAGCAGUAGGGAAUCUUCCACAAUGGGCGAAAGCCUGAUGGAGCAACACCGCGUGAGUGAAGAAGGGUUUCGGCUCGUAAAACUCUGUUGUUGGAGAAGAACGUAUGUGAUAGUAACUGAUCAUGUAGUGACGGUAUCCAACCAGAAAGCCACGGCUAACUACGUGCCAGCAGCCGCGGUAAUACGUAGGUGGCAAGCGUUAACCGGAUUUAUUGGGCGUAAAGCGAGCGCAGGCGGUUUUUUAAGUCUGAUGUGAAAGCCCUUGGCUCAACCAAGGAAGUGCAUCGGAAACUGGAAAACUUGAGUGCAGAAGAGGACAGUGGAACUCCAUGUGUAGCGGUGAAAUGCGUAGAUAUAUGGAAGAACACCAGUGGCGAAGGCGGCUGUCUGGUCUGUAACUGACGCUGAGGCUCGAAAGCAUGGGUAGCGAACAGGAUUAGAUACCCUGGUAGUCCAUGCCGUAAACGAUGAAUGCUAGGUGUUGGAGGGUUUCCGCCCUUCAGUGCC